CCAAGAGGAGCUCUGUGUAAUAUCUGCACCCAAUGUUGGUGUCAGAUCCUAAACUCAGAAAAUAGAGCUUUUCUAGCUCUAAGAGCUCUGCUUAUGACUCUCGGGUGAGGGUCACAUGGAAGAGCACCUCUUUGUCCUGCCAGAGGGGAAGGAAUGCCCCUGGUUCAGCUUUUUGCUUUAUGUGCCAGUAGUACCACCAGCCCUCAGAGCAGCAUGCUGUAAAGGAAAAAAGGAGGUGAUCAGAACUAGCAGCGUCCAUAUUAGUUGGUUGUUUCUAUGUAAAAUUUUUUCCCAUGUCACCAUGUUCACAGUCCAGAAGAGAGGAGGAUUCACUUUGUUCGACUCUUUGCUCUCCAUUGACUACAGACACCAGGAAAUGCGCGAUUUUUUUUUUUUCCCUCAGAUGACACGCUUUCCUCAAGCUGAUCUUUCGUGAUAAGACAUUGUGCUGAUCCAGGAUGGAGGCAGAGACUACUGAACCUUGCAGCCACUGGGCUAGCUGAGCACUUUGCCUACCUGGAAGGCUGAAUCCAGACAGCAUUGCCUUGACUCAGUUAGUGCUCAGGCUGGCUGAUGUAAAGGGAUUUGAGGAUCCACAAAUUGAGCCAUGCUUAGACAAACUGUGUAGAUGUGCCCAUUCAAUAAUCAUGUGUGGGAGCUUUGCCUUGGAAUUGCAUAAGUAACUUUUCGGCAUACAUCUUCCUUAUUGCUAGUCAAGAGGACUUUGCUUACUAUGGGUGGGCACAUUGGUAAGAAAAGAGUGAAAGAGGAAGCUGGAAGACAGUUGGCCUUCUUUUGCUAUCUUGCACCAAGGCCAACUGCUACAUAACACACCCAGAAAUCACAUUUGUUGCUGUUGCUGGGCCAUCAUGCUGCUCCUCACCUACUUCAGCAGCCUGUUGAAUCCCACGCAUUACAGAAGUUGCUGUUGUCACUUCUAUGCCCCACACAAGACAGCAAAGAGAAUUUGCUACAGCUGGCUGUGUGUCCCCACAGGACAGUUAGUCUCUUUUAAUACCUCAUGAAAGAGCAUGAGCACAGGAC
Long non-coding RNA from Empidonax traillii (willow flycatcher), 1044 nucleotides. RefSeq lists it as uncharacterized. The record is from RefSeq and is a predicted model, not a curated record. Lineage: Eukaryota; Metazoa; Chordata; Aves; Passeriformes; Tyrannidae. The transcript has 4 exons.